GACCUGGUGGUGCAUGGUGCAUACCCACUUGAUGUCCAUACCAUACCAAAGAUGAUCUGUUAGUGGGAGGUCCCCGUUCAAUUCGGGGCCAGGUCA
Mycena galericulata is the source of this 96-nucleotide non-coding RNA. NCBI's taxonomy places the organism in Eukaryota, Fungi, Basidiomycota, Agaricomycetes, Agaricales, Mycenaceae. The record is from the annotation of a GenBank genome assembly.